GACAGAGGGUGCAAACGUUGUUCGGAAUUACUGGGCGUAAAGCGUGUGUAGGCGGUCUCAUAAGUCGGGUGUGAAAGCCCGGGCUCAACCCGGGAAGUGCACUCGAAACUGCGAGGCUAGAGUACUGGAGAGGUUGGUGGAAUUCUCGGUGUAGAGGUGAAAUUCGUAGAUAUCGAGAGGAACACCGGUGGCGAAGGCGGCCAACUGGACAGAUACUGACGCUGAGACACGAAAGCGUGGGGAGCAAACAGG
This 252-nucleotide ribosomal RNA is filed under the name uncultured bacterium. RNAcentral's name for it is "partial 16S ribosomal RNA". It matches the Rfam family "Bacterial small subunit ribosomal RNA", at positions 524 to 776 of the family's 1533-position model. The record is from RNAcentral.